CUCUGUACGGGAAGGAUGAGAAGCUUCGACUAAGGUUCGAUUCGAGCGAAAGCGAGAAAGCGUUGCCAACGGCAACGACCCGAAGGGCGAAGCGCGCAGCGCUGAGUAAUCCUUCCCCCGUCAUCC
Molecule: small RNA, 126 nt
Filed under: Salmonella enterica
Lineage: Bacteria; Pseudomonadati; Pseudomonadota; Gammaproteobacteria; Enterobacterales; Enterobacteriaceae
Description: partial RtT sRNA
Rfam family: RtT RNA
About the family: This family represents a bacterial cis-regulatory element known as RtT RNA.
Source: RNAcentral